AGAUAUGGGAUGCCUACAACGUGAAGGCCCAGACUUUUAAAACGGCCAUAGAAGCUGCUUGCCUACUUCUCAGAAUCGAUGACAUUGUGAGUGGGAUGAAGAAGAAGCAGCCUCCUGGUGCCAAAGCUCCUUCCAAGCCUCAAGUUGAGACAGAAGGCGAUGCAGAUAAUGAGCAAAUAAUUCCGGAGUGAUUAUCGAGAGCACGUGGUUU
Molecule: long non-coding RNA, 211 nt
Filed under: Prunus dulcis (almond)
Lineage: Eukaryota; Viridiplantae; Streptophyta; Magnoliopsida; Rosales; Rosaceae
Description: sRNA ncRNA
Source: RNAcentral